This is a small nuclear RNA of Rattus norvegicus (Norway rat), 58 nucleotides long. Ensembl annotates it as U7 small nuclear RNA. NCBI's taxonomy places the organism in Eukaryota, Metazoa, Chordata, Mammalia, Rodentia, Muridae. The record is from Ensembl.
AACAAACAUAGCUCUUUUAGAAUUUUUCAGGCUUUCAGAUUUUGAUCAGAAAACCCAA